CAAUAGCGUAUAUUAAAGUUGUUGCGGUUAAAAAGCUCGUAGUUGGAUUUCUGCUGAGGACGAUCGGUCCGCCCACUGGGUGAGUAUCUGGCUCGGCCUUGGCAUCUUCUUGGAGAACGUUGCUGCACUUGACUGUGUGGUGCGGUAUCCAGGACUUUUACUUUGAGGAAAUUAGAGUGUUUCAAGCAGGCGCACGCCUUGAAUACAUUAGCAUGGAAUAAUAAGAUAGGACCUUGGUUCUAUUUUGUUGGUUUCUAGAGCUGAGGUAAUGAUUAAUAGGGAUAGUUGGGGGCAUUCGUAUUUAACUGUCAGAGGUGAAAUUCUUGGAUUUGUUAAAGACGGACUACUGCGGAAGCAUUUGCCAAGGAUGUUUNCAUUG
Molecule: ribosomal RNA, 379 nt
Filed under: uncultured eukaryote
Lineage: Eukaryota
Description: partial 18S ribosomal RNA
Rfam family: Eukaryotic small subunit ribosomal RNA
Source: RNAcentral